Molecule: small nucleolar RNA, 98 nt
Filed under: Mesocricetus auratus (golden hamster)
Lineage: Eukaryota; Metazoa; Chordata; Mammalia; Rodentia; Cricetidae
Description: Small nucleolar RNA U3
Rfam family: Small nucleolar RNA U3
About the family: Small nucleolar RNAs (snoRNAs) are involved in the processing and modification of rRNA in the nucleolus.
Source: Rfam by way of RNAcentral
AAGUCUAUACUUUCAGGAAUCAUUUCUAUAGUUCAUUACUAGCCUCUUUCCAUUGAUGAUCAUUCUUCUCUCCCUUUGGGAGAAUGAGAGGGAGGGGG